UGCAGUCGAGCGACUGAUUAGAAGCUUGCUUCUAUGACGUUAGCGGCGGACGGGUGAGUAACACGUGGGCAACCUGCCUGUAAGACUGGGAUAACUUCGGGAAAUCGAAGCUAAUACCGGAUAGGAUCUUCUCCUUCAUGGGAGAUGAUUGAAAGAUGGUUUCGGCUAUCACUUACAGAUGGGCCCGCGGUGCAUUAGCUAGUUGGUGAGGUAACGGCUCACCAAGGCAACGAUGCAUAGCCGACCUGAGAGGGUGAUCGGCCACACUGGGACUGAGACACGGCCCAGACUCCUACGGGAGGCAGCAGUAGGGAAUCUUCCGCAAUGGACGAAAGUCUGACGGAGCAACGCCGCGUGAGUGAUGAAGGCUUUCGGGUCGUAAAACUCUGUUGUUAGGGAAGAAUAAGUACGAGAGUAACUGCUCGUACCUUGACGGUACCUAACCAGAAAGCCACGGCUAACUACGUGCCAGCAGCCGCGGUAAUACGUAGGUGGCAAGCGUUAUCCGGAAUUAUUGGGCGUAAAGCGCGCGCAGGCGGUUUCUUAAGUCUGAUGUGAAAGCCCACGGCUCAACCGUGGAGGGUCAUUGGAAACUGGGGAACUUGAGUGCAGAAGAGAAAAGCGGAAUUCCACGUGUAGCGGUGAAAUGCGUAGAGAUGUGGAGGAACACCAGUGGCGAAGGCGGCUUUUUGGUCUGUAACUGACGCUGAGGCGCGAAAAGCGUGGGGAGCAAACAGGAUUAGAUACCCUGGUAGUCCACGCCCGUAAACGAUGAAUUGCUAAGUGUUAGAGGGUUUCCGCCCUUUUAGUGCUGCAAGCUAAACGCAUUAAGCACUCCCCCCUGGGGGAUACGGUCGCCAAGACUGAAAACUUCAAAGGAAAUUGACGGGGGGCCC
RNAcentral lists this ribosomal RNA (896 nucleotides) under uncultured bacterium. RNAcentral's name for it is "bacterial SSU rRNA". It matches the Rfam family "Bacterial small subunit ribosomal RNA", at positions 56 to 923 of the family's 1533-position model. The record is from RNAcentral.